UCUCCCGCUUCUCCUCCCUGAGCGGGAAGCCUUAUCUGAUGAGGCUGCUUGAUCCCCGAUUUUACUCCCCUUUAAUCGGGGUUUUUUUU
This 89-nucleotide non-coding RNA is filed under the name Methylovorus glucosotrophus SIP3-4. RNAcentral's name for it is "Methylovorus glucosetrophus SIP3-4 Burkholderia RNA 7 (anti-hemB)". It matches the Rfam family "Burkholderia RNA 7 (anti-hemB)". From Rfam's summary of the family: This RNA motif was identified by computational search in b-proteobacteria Burkholderia. Co-purified with Hfq, expression confirmed by Northern blot. Lineage: Bacteria; Pseudomonadati; Pseudomonadota; Betaproteobacteria; Nitrosomonadales; Methylophilaceae. The record is from Rfam by way of RNAcentral.